GCCUAAACCAAGCAGGUGCAAUGACCAAAUCUGUGUUUAAAUAAGAUUAGACUGGCAGCCAAGGACAGGGUGAUUUAGCCUGCAGCAGAAUCUCCUGGAACACUUGUUAAAAAUACAGACUCCUGGGCCCUGCCUGGAUAACGUCAUUCACUAGGCCAGGGAGGGGCUUGAGAAGCUGCAUUUUAAACUCCUGCACCUGUCCCGCCCUCACCUCCACCCUCACGAUUCUGAUGCAUUGAUGUUGGACCUGGAUGAGAGGGAGGCGAAGCUGGAGGUCAGGAGGCACCUGGUUUAGGGCUCCACCCAGAAUGGCAGCCCUGUAAAUGCUGCUGGUCCUCUCCCUGGAGCGAGGCUUCACCCGGGGACGGGGCCCUGGGCCUGCAGUCGAGACCUCGUGGGGAUUAUGGACUCACAGCUCUUCAGGAGUGAGAAUUCAUUUAGGCCACCCGCCCAGCUCUGAUCUGCAAGCUGCCUCCUUGGUCCUCAUCUCCAUGCUGCCCAGGUCACACCCCAGCUUUCAGGCCAUCAUCCUUGCCCCUGGGGGAAGACGAAAGGUAAGAGCAGAAGCUCAGUGCUCAAGCUUUUAUCGGUCUGUGAGUGAAACUGAUGUUUUUAGCAGACAGCUGAAAUGUUUACUUUGAAAAAAGUAGAGACCCCUUGGCCGGGAGACAGUCAGGAAUGCAUGUCAUUGAAUCUGCAGGUGACCCGUAGUUACUUUGGCCCUACUUGAGUGUCCAAAGUGUUAAGGGGAGAAUGAGCCAGUUUAACAAAUAGCUCAUACCUGCUUGGGCUCUCCCUGCUGGUCCUCUGAGCGUGUGUGUUUGCAUCUCACACCCACAUACAAGCAUGGAAUGAGCGGCUUGUGUAGAAACCCUGCAACAAACAUCAAAUCUGUAGGUUACCAGGGAGUCCCCACUGGGUUCACUAGCAAAGCAGCUUCUGAAAAGAGUGUAUAUAGUAGGCACAUGCCUCUGAAAGCAGUGCGGCUAUUUAUUUUUUUAAUAGGGGAUUCUCACGUUACGAGAACAUCACAGAUUACUGAAUAAUUUAUUUAAUGGCAGAUUAUAUGGGCGUCACGCUUUGCCAAUGAGCUCAUCCCCAAAUGUCUAAAGGAGAUAAGGUGAGCAAAACUAGAGCUCAGGCUUGAGCGAGCUGUCUGUUUCUUUUCUUAGAUAUGCGUAACUGUUAGAGCCGUGUAUUUUACUUAAUAUUAUCUCAGCUGCGCUGUCAUGUAUAUAAUCGAGGCACCACUUUAUUGUUGACAUUUAACUGACUCGUAACAGUGCAUACAACACACAGCACUGGGAAAUAUAGAAUAGGUAAUGAAUGGCCUUGUCUGUGCUUGAUCUCAACAAAGGACUGUGAUAAAUAUAUGGGUAUGUUUGUUCUCUAUGAAAAUACAGGGAAACAAGAGGGAGCGCAGUUCAAUAAAAGAAUGUUAGAUUUGGGAAAUAGAGACAAGAAAAAAGAUUUGGGUUGGUAGCUUUCUGUGGACCUCUACUGUUACCUUUUCAAUGAUUUGGGGUAGAAAAACAAUCAGUUCCAAGUUUACAGAUCUUAGGUUUUUUGCCUUUAACUGUAUACAGUCUUUGGGUAAACAGAGGUACGUUGGAAAAUGGGCACAUGUUUCUGUCAAAUGAAAUUUUGAUGAAAAUAAAAAUUUAUUUAAAAAGAAAUUUAAAAUUUGACAACAGGAAGAUGGCAAAAGGCUUGGACAGGACAUCACAUGAGAAGAAAUUCAUGUAGCCAAUAACUGUGGCAAGAGAUGCUUUAUUUAAUUUUUUAAUUUUUUUAGUGUUCAGGGAAAUGCAAGUUAAACCUGUAAUGAGAUAUCACCAUACACCCACGCAACCAGUUACAAUUUUAAAGUUUGACAAUAACAAGGACUAAUGAGGACAGAGAGUGGGAAAUGCUGCUAGUGGGCGUUUUCAGUGGAAGCAGUGGUUUUGGAAAAUAGCUGCCAUUGCUGACUGAGGUUGAAGAUUCACACACCCUGUUUUCAACUGAAGAAACGCUGCUGUGGGAAAACGUCCUGGAGGUGGAUGCGUGUGCAUCCCGUGGACUGGGAUAUAUACAAGAAUGUUUAGAGAAGCGUUGUGCAUAAUAGCCCCAAGCUGGAAACAACCCAAAUGUCUGCCCGACAAAGAAAGGAUAAGGGAGCAUUAGAGCCACUGGUAACAGCAGGGAUGAAUUUCACACCCGUUAACGCUGAGCAAAAGAAGCAGGACAGGAAUCCGUAGAAUAAGUGUCCACUGAUGAAAAAGCUCAUGAUCCGGCAAAACUAAGUCUGCUUCGGGAUGCUUGGAGAGAGGGGAGAGCUAUAAAGGAAAGCAAGGAAAUCAUAAUAAAGGUCAGGAUGGUGGUUUCUUUUAGAGGAAGGGAAGGAUUGUGAUCACAAAGAACACUCGAGACUUCUGGGCACCGGAAAUGUUUUGUUUCUUGACCCUGCUGUGGUUUCAUGGGUUUUCACUUUAUAGUACUCACUAAACUGGAUGUGAAUGUUUAAUGCACUUUUAUGUACUUAUGUUAUAUUUCACACAUGCACGUGCACAUGCGUGCACGAAAGAGAUCAAGAUUUGCAAAAAAAAACUCCCUAAUUCAGUUUAGUUCCUUUGAAAGAUAAGCUUUAAGUAUUCAGUUCAGUUUCAUGAACAUUUAAAACAAUAAGCCAAAUCUUAUGCAUAGUUUCCCAUGAGAAUCCUAGAACGUGGAGCUGGAAAGACAGCCGGAGGAGAGGGGAGAGCGCUGGCCGCCAGAGCAGAGGCUCCUUGCCAGCCAGCCCUGACCCUCAAGGGCCGUUUCCCCGCGCUGUUCUCUGGGCCUCAAUCCUUAUCUGUAAAAGGGAUCAGACCUGAUUAGAACUCCUCUUAAGAGUCUCCUAGUGUAUUCUUGGGCGUUCUCUAUGGGAAUUUUUUUUUUUAAAUAAGAAAUUCCUUUCACUGUGAUGACAAUCUACAGAACACGCACAUUAUCCGGGUCCUCUGUGUGUCCACCUUAGAGCUGACAGCGCCAGCACUGCUCUGUGAUGAUGACCACACUGGGGCCCAGAUGUGCUGUUCCAGUUGUCUCAGGCCAGCCAGAUGAAAACACAGGGGGUGACCUUGAUGAGUACAGCCUGUAUUUGCCAAGUGACCUCAUGCAAGGCUCACAACCAGAGUUUUCACGGGAGUUUGAAGAGACCACAUUGUGUGAGAUCUGAGUCAGGGGACGAUGCCCAACCUCAAGAAGUGACUAGGUGCCCAGGACAAAGUGAGGGGCAGUUUACUCCGCAGAAUCACGCCAUCUGUCUCCUUAAAUUAAUGCUGCUAGCUUGAGAUUUAUUGGUUUGCUAUUUGGUUGUCAAAAUCGUGAUGUCGUUUUGACUUUAUAGUUGUAGAAGUUAUAAGCCUGCGGACAUACGCCCAGUUUCAUGUUUGUACAUAUUUAACUAACAAUCUUAUAAAAGUAAUUUGCAUCCACACUGAAAAUCCUCAAACAUUUUUUUUCUUGAGGAGGCCCCCACAUGUCAUUCGAAUUUGAGCCGCACUGAACCCCAAUGAUCUCCACUGAGCCUCCUGUGAUUCUGUUUCCGUUUUGGAAGUUAAGACCUUUCUAAAGCCAGUGGCAGGGUGUGUCCCUGGUGCAGCCAGGGACCCCAGCCCCUCCGUCUGUAGAUGACUUUGCCUCCAGGGGACAUUUGAUAGUGUCAUGACACAGGUUUGAUGGUCACACCUGGAGGUGGAGCCUAGUCAGCAGAGACCAGAGAUGUUGCUUCUCAGCCUACAGUGCAUAGGACAGCCCCCAUAACAAAGCACCCUCCAGGCCGUGACGCCAGUGGCGCCCAGGUUAGAACCCCUGGCUCCGCUCUCUACAGCUUUAACUUUUAAAGGAAGGAAGCCUUCUCUGUGUUUGUUCCCAGGUAAUCAGGAUAAGGCAGGAGUUUUCUUUUGUAAUUUACCUUUCUUGGCACCUGUUUCCUCCCACAUGGAAGAAACAGACAGGCGAGCCAAACAGUCCCUCAGGUGUGAGGUCAGUCACGUGACUGGCUUGCGGUAAGCGUGGAGGUUUGAUGGGCGCGUCACUUUACUGUUUCUGAGGCAGUCUUACUCCUGGUCCUCCUCUGUCAGGUCCUGGUCCACCAUCUACAUGGAGUGACUUUGCUUUGUAGGGACCUGGCCCCUGAUGUUUGUAGCUGGUCUCUAGACAGACAGUGCUCCCAAGUGAUUCCCAGAGGAGCCAAUAUCUCUUUCAGGAUAAACCCCUGGAAACAGAUGGGAGGAAUCUGGAUCAACCUCCAAGGCUGAUCUCGGGGCCCCGUGGUUGUGCUUGUCUCUGUGCUGUGAUGGUUUCCCGGCUCCUGUCUAUCCUCACGUAAUUCUCAUGUUUGUUCAGGCAGAUCCCGCUGGGUGUUCCUGGGUCCCAUCACCCCUCCCUCAUCAGAUAUUUAACUCCUUGUGAUUAGAGCCUUCUGUGCUGUUUUGCCACCGGCGCACCACCCGGCAGGCUGAGCGCAGUGGCCUGCCGGGUGGUGGCCACGCCGUCGGCGAGCUGGGAACAACACCACGUUAAAAAAGAGCCCAGGUGGGAUUAGGGGUGACAGCUUCUUGAAUGUCACCCACUGUCCUUUUCAGCCUCUCCUCUCGCUCACCUGCUGUCCUGGUGACCCGAAUCCAGUCACAACCAGCCUCUUGGUUUUGGAAGCAUUAGAAUGUAUAACAUUCUCCUGACGAGAAAACAGCCCUUCAUCUCCAGGACCAAAAAAGGGGAUGUGUGCUCACUCGGUGGGGCUGGCCGGCUGCCCGAGGUAGGGACAGGCAGCGGUUCUGAGCUCUCCUCCGUCUCCACCCCGGCUGCUCCCCUCCCCGCCGUGCUCACACAGGGCCGUGGAGACCGCUGUGGACAGACGGGCCUCCAUCCAUCCCUGACAACCUGUGAUGCAAAGCAGCUGACUGGAAGCCUCACAUCCUGCCUAAAACCACCACCCUUUCCUCCCUGCCCCUAGCCCUUAAAAAAAAGAAUCCUCUGUCUAAGGUGCUGUCUUCCAAAGGCACAGAGGUGGACCAUGCCUUUAGCACAGCGUGCGUGCCCUGGGGUUCAGCAGACAGGGCCCUUGUUUCCUGGCCUGGACUCAAGGGGUCUGCUCAGAUCCCACAGCUGAGAGGAGGCUGGGUUGCUGGGCACCACUGACAAGACUGAGGGGCGCAGGCGUCUGCGUUUGGCACACACAACCUGCAGACCUCCUCGCCCCUUAGGCUCUUUGGUUGACACCUGUCUCCUGAGUCCUGCACAGCUGAGGGCUUGCACGGCUCAAGGAGUCUCACGGCAAAAGAAAUGCAAACUAUGGCUGAGGAAGGAAGGAAGCAAAAUUGAAGGCCAGAGAAGCUGAGCGUGGGGUGUAAGGGGAUGAGGCUAGACCACAGAAAGGAAGGCCCAUCAUGGGGUCAGAGGUCAGAAGCAAGUAAUGUGGUAGGAGACAGGUUAGCGGAAAUGGGUCUGGUGGAGUCCAUGAGCAGUGCCAGGCUGGGGCCUCUCUUGUGGGACCUGGUGAUGUUUCAGGUCUGGAGAGGAGUGGAGAGGGAGGUAGACCUGACGGCGUAGGGAUGGUUAGGCCAGACUUGACAAUCCUUCUAUCCAUUUCAGCCAGAUUUUAAAUCUGUGAUGGUCAGACUUGGGGGAAAAGGAAGCAGUUGUGCUCUUUCCCCCACUUUACCCCAACACAGUGGUGACCUGGGGCCUAAUCCAGGACUCGGAAAGCCAGACCCUGUCCCAGCCAAAGCACACGCAAGCCCCCAGCUCGGUGGUGGGGAAUAGCUGCAUGUAGCCCCUCCACCUGGCUGACCCAGAACCUAACUUUAGCCUCCUAGGAGCGUAUGCAAAGUGGGUAACCCGCUGCUCCAGCCUCGCCCAGGGCCACUUCUGUUUUCCAUUCUGCACCUGUGGGGGUUUGCGUGUCUGAGAGCUCUCCCGGCCAGUUCUGAGGCUGAGAACAUCCUCGACUCACACAGGACUCCUUGUUCCCUUGGCAACAGUCAGCUCCUUCCUCCUCUCCCACCCCAGGAGCAAAGUCACACUUUCUGCACUUCUGCCCUGGCGGGUGCGCUCCGUGAAGGGGAGGGGCCUCACGGAGCAGGUCUGCCCCUGAGUUACAAGCAGGGUGAAGGGUGGUGAGCCGACUCGCCCCUGUGAGAUGGGAUCCUAUCAGUUCGGGAGCCUAUGGUCCAGCCUGCAGAGGGUCCAGGCUCCCAUCUUCCCCCUUGCCCGGCCGCUGGCCUUGUGUCCUGUCAUGGUUGAAUGGCUCCCCAAGCAGAGGUUGGAAAGAGAAAAUGAAAGGAGGAAAAUGGAGAAUUAAUAGCUCAUGUAAAAGGCCUGAUGGGGAGGGAAUUUAAAACCAAUUAACCAAUUAAGAUUUCGAUUAUCCCAUACGCUCCCCAGCCCCUUUAUGGCAGAUAGAAUUAAACGUUGGGUGUAGGCACAAAACACAUUUCACACUCAUUUACCAAUGAGUUCUCUGGUCUUCAGCUUGAAAGCUGGUGAGCCUUGGGGUUACCAUGCUCCACUGGGAACCAUGACACCAGGUGACACCACACCCCUGUGCACCCUGCAGGCUGAAGGACAGGAAGCCUUGCCUGUGAAGAGGGAGGUGGGCAGCAUCUGCCGGGAGUGUGUGUGAUGUCUCGUUGGCACCAGGGAAAGACCCAAGGAUGGGCUGUGGGAGUGGAGCGUGUGAAAGAGACAAAAAAAGUGUCUUUCAACCCCAUUGCCUCUCCCCCCAUUGUACUCUGGGAGAACACCAUGGUCCUGACGCCCGGCCCUGAGGGGUUACCCCGUUUCAGAGGGACAUCGAGGAACAGAGCUGAGGGGUGGGAAGAGGCCAAACGGUGGAAGCCUCGAGUGCCCCUCUGGCGAAAAGGGCAGCUCUAGCUGCCAGGAGUCUCAGGGCUGGAUCCUCUGCCGGGGCCUCGCUCCUUUCACCGCGUGUCUUCCUUCUCUUCACUGGGCUGUGUCCCUCGAGAGAAAACGCAAUGCUUGGCGAAGUAAGUCAGACAGAGACAGAUGGAUGCUGUAUGAUAUCCUUACACACGGAAUCUGAAACAGACAACGCACUAAUGGAUAUAACAACGACAACAAAAGGAACAAACUCCCAGACACGGAGAACAAACUCGUGGCUACCAGUGGGGAGGGGGCAAGAUAGGGGCAGGGGAUGAAGAGGCACCAGCUACUAUUAUAAUAUAAAUAAGCUACGAGGAUGUACCACACACCGUGGGGAAUUAGCCAAUAUUCUGUAAUAACUAUAGGUGGAGUGUAACCUCCAAAAAGUGGGAAUCACUAUAUUGUAUACCUGUAACUUACAUAAUAUUGUACAGCCACCGUACUUCAAUAAAAAAACAGAAAAAAAGUUAAGUAAAACGAAGGGUCAAGAUUUUUUAAAAAGAAGGAACAAAAUGCAAAGAUGGGCUAUGAGUUUCCUGAAAGAGUCUGUGGCUCUGUUAAAGUCAAGUGAAUUAAAGUCUGUGAAUGUAGAGGAAAUGUCAAAACAGGUGCGAAAGGAGGAAGUAAAUCUCCUCUUGAGUAAGUAACUGCUAAAUUAAGCUCUGUUCAUCCGUGGGGUGUAGGGUAGAAUGAUUGCCCCCCAUUUGAAAUCUGAUUCCUACCCUGCGCACAAUGGGCCAUCCAAGCCACUGGCCCUCCAGGAGCACCACCCCUGCUCUCUCUUAAGGGGUGACAGUUGGUGCCACAGACCUGAAACCACUCUACUAGCAGAAUUCACAUCACAGGCUGCGCUCCUACCCAGAAGACAAGUCUAUCCAGUUUUAUAGAACAAACACACAUACGCCUUUGGUAUACAGCUGGUGAUUAUCUGGGAACAUGGAACUACAACCCAGGUCACCCAUCCUGAGUGUCACACAAUAGAAGGAGAGCUCUAGCAGUGGGGGCCGCCGGGACCAGCAUGGGUGCCAUAAUUUACUGAACCGCCCUCCAAAUCAAGCUCAUGAUUUAAGCUAGCCCAUGACUUCGAGAAAUUGAUGUGUUCCCCUCCAAUAAACCACUGCUACCACCACAGCCUUCGUUCUCACCAUCUCUUGCUUUGCUGGUGCGAGGGCCUGUUGUCGCCACCUUCAACUGUCUUUCACCACGCGUAGGGCUGCCACCUCCAGUACUGAGCACCAGGAGAACCGCCAGACUGAACGGCUUCUCUGGCACAACUCAGAGAAAAGAAUUGGUGUUUUAGCUUUGUAUGGACCUGGGGUAUAGUUAGAGGAGGAGAGGGGAUGGGCUUGUCACUCCCCACUAAAAGGGAUUUCCCAGAGAGUCCUAAAUCAGCUGAAACACGUGGUGCAGCUGCUGUGGAAGACACCGAUUCAGGUGACAGCACCUGAGGGCAGCAGGUCUGGGUCUCCUGGUGUGGGGACUGAGGCACAGAUGUAGGUCUGCUUGUCAGAGAAAAGUGAAAAGGGCAAUCCAAGAAUAACAACAUGGAGGGGAGAAAAACCCAAGAAAUGUACCUUUGAAAUGACUGUUCCUCUUUGAAAACCAUAAAAGUAAGAUCCUACUGGGUCCCAAGGGGUGUGGCUUUGUCCAAGAUCCAAGGAUGUGGAGGAGCCGUGGGCUCUGCACAUGUGGAGAAGCCCAGGAAAGGGAUGUGGCAUUCUUACGUGGCAUUUUACAGCGGCUUCUGUCCACCCACCUGGUUGUACCUGAUGCUCACAGCAACGUCUGAAGUGGGCACGAAUGACUGUCUUCAUUUCACAGAUGAAAGCAUUGGAGUCCAAGAGAGGUUAAAUGACAUAUUGAAAGCCACACUUUCGACAUGGUAGGGCCUGUAUUAGAACCUGGGCGUUCGAACU
This is a non-coding RNA of Vicugna pacos (alpaca), 8825 nucleotides long. NCBI's taxonomy places the organism in Eukaryota, Metazoa, Chordata, Mammalia, Artiodactyla, Camelidae. The record is from RefSeq and is a predicted model, not a curated record.